Molecule: non-coding RNA, 505 nt
Organism: Arabidopsis thaliana (thale cress)
Lineage: Eukaryota; Viridiplantae; Streptophyta; Magnoliopsida; Brassicales; Brassicaceae
Product: other RNA
Exons: 1
Source: RefSeq
GAUUUUCUUCUGUAUAUGCUUUCCCGAAAAAUGAAUCUGAAAUUUUGUUUUGAAUGAGUUUUUUUCUGGAAUUUAAAAUAUUUGUGGGCGAUGAUUAAAAAGAGAGAGGCUUGAGAGGUGAGUGUGAACAAAACUCUCAUGGGAUGGAGGAAAAAAUUCAAAUCGAAAUCGAAGGAGAAAUACAUUUAAUAAAAUGUUUUUUUUUCCCUUUUUUGAUUUAGGGUUCUUUCUUUCAUACCUUUCCCUCGGUGACGGUCCUUCCAAGUUACACUUGAUAUGAGCCCUUCUACUAUACUUUCGUUUAAUUUUUGUGUUGGAUGUGGUGUUCUUACUUCUUACAAUGAUUCCAUGAAAAUGUCGGUUAAUUUGUAAUAACAAAACUCACACAUGUAAUAUCAGAAUCGACUUCUUUAACAAACAAAAAAAAAUAUCAGAAUCAACUUGGCCAUUCUUUGAAGAAUUGAUAACAAACACAAUCGAUUAAUUUUGAGAGAAACAUUAUCAU